GGAGAGAGAGGAAAGUGCAGAGAGAGAGAGGGAGUGUAGAGAGGCGCGGCGGCGGCUGCACUCCUCGCGGUAGAGGUAGGACGGAAAAAGGAGGAAGCAGGAGGGAAAGACGUCGCGUUCGGUGCUGGAGAGGACACGCGGAGACAAAAGGAGGGGCAGCCCUGGUCCGUCUCCUCCUCGUCACGCUCGGUGCCUCUACUGCUCCACCAGCUCAACGGACACCGCGGUAGCGGCAUGGAGUGCCGGGUCGACCUCCACACAGCCGGCGUCUCUGCCGUCUCCAGAGUAAGCGAGUGAGAGAGCGGCGGUAUCCUCCUCACACGCGUCCCCCUCACCGGCCAGUUCUAGACUUCUGCCGCCCCGCCGUUCGUCUCGAGGAAAACGACUCGCGGCUCCCCAGCUUCCCACGAGGCCUAGGCCUAGGCCCGCUCCACCGCCGGUACUUGCUCGAGCUCGAGCUCGGGCUCGCACACGGAGGAUGAGGGGUACCAGAGCGAUGGCGAGGAGGGGGAACCCGAGACAAGCACCUCUCGUCGCCGGCUACACCUGUUCCUCCAUGUGUUGCUCGGCGGCUACUACCCGUGCGACCCUACUCGAGAGACCGUCUUUGUGCGUGGUGCGGGCAGGUGGAGAGGUGGUGGUACGCGGUCUCCCUCUCCCUCUCGGGUCCGGGACUCGCACCCAAGACUAAAACCCAGUUCAAACGAACUUCCAAUCACGCUCCUCGUGCAUAGGUCUUCAAAGAGACGUGUAUUCUGCGAAUCGUUACCCACACCCUUAUCGAGUCAACCGAUUAGGUACAUAUGAGAAACAAAUAGUAGUUCAAAUCAUGAAGAUACCUCAGCUUGCUUUAACUACAGAGUUCUAGUUAAUCGUACCGGAACCUCAUUUAGCCGACCAUACGUUCAUACUGUUCACCUACUGUGAAAGUUGUAAAAAAAGAGGGCUGGUGUACACGAACAACCAGGUCAAGAUUUUUAAACGACGUUCCAAAGAUAUUAUGUCUAAUUUCUUCUUAGUCUAGUACAUAUAUUAAACGAGCGACUGAUGGUUUAUGACCUUGAAGACUCUUGGGAGAGGUUGGGUAUAAACGUUUAUUUUUCGAACGCCGAACCCUCGUAGAGUCUUAAAAAUAGAGCUGGAACGUCAUUGACUCAGAGAUGGCCGUGUUUUACGUUAACUUAUAGAGUUUCAUUACCUCGUAAACUAGUCUUACUUCUCAAUUGUCAGGAUCCAUUUCCUUGACUCACUCGUGAAGGUACAGUGGGGCUUACGAUCGCCAAGGACUUACUCCCCAUGCUCACACAAUCGCUCCAUUUUCCGACUUCACUGUUGUGGAGACCCUGACUAGGGGUCACGUGUUUUGAAGGUACCACCACACACGUUAAGGUUCCGGGUGAACUCGAUGAGAACUCUUAAAGGUGGCGUGGAUUUUUUGUUCUCAAAGUUAACAUAUUUCUUUAGGUACACACUGUCUUGGAAAUGUGCUCCUCCCGUUGUCGCAGCUGUACCGUUAGCUCAGUGAGGACUUACGCCUCUUCGUCACAACGGACCGACCGCUACACCGGUCGUGAUCCUUCCUGUAGCAGCUCGAGAGGAAGUUCCUACCGCGGACCUUCUGCGAAUUGACGGUCUAGCAACAGGAGAGAUUCUCCUCCUCCCGGUCGAGUUUCUUACCGCAGUGGCCCGUCCUGCCGUCGCCGCACGGGCACAAGCGCCUCAUGUUGGAGCUGCUCGAGGCGCGGAGGUGGCUGCCGAAGCGUUGCCUGGUGUAGUAGAAGCUCGUGACGCUCUUCCUCGGAUUGCGGUAGAUGGUGCCCGGGAGAAGUCGAGACCGUGGUGGCAGCGGUAGUUCGAGAAGAUGGCGAGGCGGACCGGACUGCGUGCGGUUAAGUACCAAGCACGGGGAACGAAACCAAACAAAACGAAGCCCCCCCACCUAGCAGUGGAGCAUACGUGGUCACAAGCUGACCGGAGACGGCGCCUCAGACUUGACUUAAACCGACAGUAUAAAAAAACCUACGUGUUCUCCUCCGAUCCCGUCAACCCGACGACGUCUCGCAAGCGAACAGGUUGGAGUAGUCUACUACGAUGUUCCCACCGCUCGCCGACGAGCAACGAUUCAAGUACUGCGUACUAUGGAACCGUCGACACUAAGUAUCACACCAAUCCCAAAAAAUUCAAAUGAUCGAGGAAGUAACUACUACCCAGCAACCACCACGAAAAGACGGCUCUUAAUUUUUUUAUUGAAUAAGGUACAAAGUACGCCAAAUACGUAGAGAAAGGAUAAAGAGACAAAGUCUAUUACCAGUACAAAUGUGAGCUCACACACUAAACGCCUGCCCCCCACGUCAGAUAGACUUAUAAGUUAAGUACGAAACUAGUACUCAUAUCAUGUAAGUUUUAAUCGUUUUCGUUAUUACGUAUCGUCGUCACAGUUAGAACAUCCGAUACUUUGACGUACAAACAACAACGCCAUACCUUUAAAUGGUACGACGCCGUUACCCCCGUUUGAGAAUGCCACUCCAAAAAAACACAUGGAUUUCAGGCUUCUCUUUCCAUCCCAUGGACUCCACUCAGAAUACGGGAAGGUACAAAAGUAAAAAACACGCAGAACUUAAAACAUAAAUUAGUUACACUUAACAAGGUAUCGUUAACGGGACAAAACUAAUGACACUAGCAAUAAAUGACGAAAACUACCAGUGAUGUUUAGAGCGGGAUAAAUCCGUCCACGUAGUGAACCAAACUAUGUAAGAUGUAGCUCCGAUACGACGUAUACGUGAAAACGAGAUUUAGCUGAACCAAAUCAGCUACUGAACUACAUAGUUGUCUACACAACCCGAGAAACAAUCGGUACAAAACGAGUUGAAAAAACUUCCUUUAACGGCGUAGCUUUGGUUUUAAAGGAAAACAACUACCGUGGCAUUCCAACAUAAUGAAACUAGUGUAAAUCAAACAUGUUUCGAAAGGAAAAAUACCGAACUUUGUACAGUGAUUUCCGUCAACUUACUUCUGUGAAUAAUCAUACGAAUCAUCGAUACUGAGCCAUCAACAGAGAGGAUAGGCCGCGAAUAAUGGGGGAGAGGAUAAUAUCGCGAAAACCAUGGCUUCAAGUACAGCUCACCGAUACGAAAACCAAAGUUUGAAGGAUAGCUCACCGAUACAAAACACCAGAAUACUUGCGUGAUUUUAACUAGCACGGAAUAUCACACUGCGGC
RNAcentral lists this ribosomal RNA (3218 nucleotides) under Triticum aestivum (bread wheat). RNAcentral describes it as "partial small subunit ribosomal RNA". Lineage: Eukaryota; Viridiplantae; Streptophyta; Magnoliopsida; Poales; Poaceae. The record is from RNAcentral.